AGAGUUUGAUCCUGGCUCAGGAUGAACGCUAGCGGCAGGCUUAAUACAUGCAAGUCGAGGGGCAGCACGGGUAGCAAUACCUGGUGGCGACCGGCAAACGGGUGCGGAACACGUACGCAACCUUCCCAUAACUGGUGAAUAGCCUUUCGAAAGAGAGAUUAAUACACCGUAACAUAACGAAAAGGCAUCUUUUUGUUAUU
RNAcentral lists this ribosomal RNA (200 nucleotides) under uncultured bacterium. RNAcentral's name for it is "partial 16S ribosomal RNA". It matches the Rfam family "Bacterial small subunit ribosomal RNA", at positions 8 to 202 of the family's 1533-position model. The record is from RNAcentral.